UGAUAAAGGAAAUUAAAUUUCGUUUGUAAAUUUACAGUUUACCGCCUAAGCUCGGCCACUUUAUC
RNAcentral lists this transfer RNA (65 nucleotides) under Protaetia brevitarsis. Its description in RNAcentral is "tRNA-Tyr". Lineage: Eukaryota; Metazoa; Arthropoda; Insecta; Coleoptera; Scarabaeidae. The record is from RNAcentral.